GAAGAAAAAGGAAUAAAUAAAGCACCUGCCUUCUAAGCAGGCGGUCGAAGGUUCGAAUCCUUCUGCCUUCACAA
RNAcentral lists this transfer RNA (74 nucleotides) under Flavobacterium sp. RSP49. RNAcentral describes it as "tRNA-Arg". It matches the Rfam family "tRNA". Rfam says of the family: Transfer RNA (tRNA) molecules are approximately 80 nucleotides in length. Their secondary structure includes four short double-helical elements and three loops (D, anti-codon, and T loops). Lineage: Bacteria; Pseudomonadati; Bacteroidota; Flavobacteriia; Flavobacteriales; Flavobacteriaceae. The record is from RNAcentral.